Molecule: ribosomal RNA, 523 nt
Filed under: uncultured bacterium
Lineage: Bacteria
Description: partial 16S ribosomal RNA
Rfam family: Bacterial small subunit ribosomal RNA
Source: RNAcentral
GACGAACGCUGGCGGCGUGCCUAAUACAUGCAAGUCGAACGCUUUUUCUUUCACCGGAGCUUGCUCCACCGAAAGAAAAAGAGUGGCGAACGGGUGAGUAACACGUGGGUAACCUGCCCAUCAGAAGGGGAUAACACUUGGAAACAGGUGCUAAUACCGUAUAACACUAUUUUCCGCAUGGAAGAAAGUUGAAAGGCGCUUUUGCGUCACUGAUGGAUGGACCCGGGGGGCAUUAGCUAGUUGGUGAGGUAACGGCUCACCAAGGCAACGAUGCAUAGCAGACCUGAGAGGGUGAUCGGCCACACUGGGACCGAGACACGGCCCAGACUCCUACGGGAGGUAGCAGUAGGGAAUCUUCGGCAAUGGACGAAAGUCUGACCGAGCAACGCCGCGUGAGUGAAGAAGGUUUUCGGAUCGUAAAACUCUGUUGUUAGAGAAGAACAAGGAUGAGAGUAAAACGUUCAUCCCUUGACGGUAUCUAACCAGAAAGCCACGGCUAACUACGUGCCAGCAGCCGCAGUAA